Molecule: ribosomal RNA, 424 nt
Filed under: Verrucomicrobiota bacterium
Lineage: Bacteria; Pseudomonadati; Verrucomicrobiota
Description: Verrucomicrobia bacterium partial 16S ribosomal RNA
Rfam family: Bacterial small subunit ribosomal RNA
Source: RNAcentral
UGAGGAAUAUUGGUCAAUGGACGCAAGUCUGAACCAGCCAAGUAGCGUGCAGGAUGACGGCCCUAUGGGUUGUAAACUUCUUUUAUAUGGGGAUAAAGUGGUGAACGUGUUCCCUUUUGCAGGUACCAUAUGAAUAAGGACCGGCUAAUUCCGUGCCAGCAGCCGCGGUAAUACGGAAGGUUCGGGCGUUAUCCGGAUUUAUUGUGUUUAAAGGGAGCGUAGGCCGUUUGGUAAGCGUGUUGUGAAAUGUAGGAGCUCAACUUCUAGAUUGCAGCGCGAACUGUCAGACUUGAGUGCGCACAACGUAGGCGGAAUUCAUGGUGUAGCGGUGAAAUGCUUAGAUAUCAUGAAGAACUCAGAUUGCGAAGGCAGCUUACGGGAGCGCAACUGACGCUGAAGCUCGAAGGUGCGGGUAUCGAACAGG